This 158-nucleotide non-coding RNA is filed under the name Murimonas intestini. The record is from RNAcentral. Lineage: Bacteria; Bacillati; Bacillota; Clostridia; Lachnospirales; Lachnospiraceae.
ACAGGUGUCCGUUAAACGGAAGAAUAGGAAAGCCGGGUUAAAAGCCCGCACGGUCACGCCGCUGUAAAGGAACAGCAGCUAUCCAGAUACGCCACUGUGAAAAUGGGAAGGCGGGUAGCUGUGAAGAAGCCUGAGUCAGAAGACCUGCCUGCGAUAAA